UACGUAGGGUGCAAGCGUUGUCCGGAUUUAUUGGGCGUAAAGAGCUCGUAGGCGGCUUGUCGCGUCGACUGUGAAAACCCGUGGCUCAACCAUGUGGUCUGCAGUCGAUACGGGCAGGCUAGAAUUCGGUAGGGGAGACUGGAAUUCCUGGUGUAGCGGUGAAAUGCGCAGAUAUCAGGAAGAACACCCGUGGCGAAGGCGGCUCUCUGGGACGGUACUGACGCUGAGACGCGAAAGCGUGGGUAGCAAACAGG
RNAcentral lists this ribosomal RNA (254 nucleotides) under uncultured bacterium. Its description in RNAcentral is "partial 16S ribosomal RNA". It matches the Rfam family "Bacterial small subunit ribosomal RNA", at positions 524 to 776 of the family's 1533-position model. The record is from RNAcentral.